AGAGGGUAGUUUGGCGAAAGGAUACCUUGCAAAUGAAUGCUUGACAUUUUGCUCGAGGUAUAUGGAAGAUGUUGAGACACGGUUCAACCGGAUGUCUUGAAAUUAUGAUGAGGGGGUAAUGGCACCGAAGGAUUUUCUAUUUUCUCAAUGCCUGGCCGACCAUUAGGUAAGGGCGUGAUAGACACAAUGGAUGAUGGCACAAAAGAAAAGGCACAUCAAUAUGUGCUAUUUAAUUGUGAGACAGUCAACAAAUUUAUUGAACAACACCGUAGACUUGUUGCCAUACAAAAUCCACGUCUUCGUGAAAUGGCCAUUGAUCGCAUUCAUAGUGAAACAUUUCCAACAUGGUUUGAUAAACAUGUUGAGGAAUUGCAUAAUGCAGGGGAUAGUCAAAUAACUGAAGAGCUUAGAUGUUUGGCUCAUGGUCCAAAUAGAAUUUUCACAAAAUAUAAGUGAUACUUGAUAAAUGGUUUUAGGUUCCAUACUAAGGAGAUCGAGCGAAAGAGAAAAACUCAAAAUAGUGGGAUUAUUGUCACGACAAAAACACGAAGCUUUGCAAGUGGUAGAGAUGGAAAUCCAGUCUCUGGAGAUGUUACAUUUUAUGGUGUGUUAACAGAUAUAAUUGAGUUAGAUUAUUUGUUUGGGAGGAGGGUCGUGUUAUUUAAAGGUGAAUGGGUGUCACAAACAGGGAAAAGACAAGAUAAAGAUUGCACACUAGUCAACUUUGCACGAUUAAUGAAAGAUGCUGAGCCUUUUGUAUUGCCUUCUCAAGCAGAACAGGUAAUGUAUGUAGAAGACCUGAAACACAAAGAUUGACAAGUUGCUAUCAAGAUAAAUUCGAGAGAUUUUUAUGAUAUGAAUGCGGGGUCUUUUGUGGACAAUGUGGAGGCAUACCUGCAGAGUGUUGUAUGCAAUACACAAAGUGGUGAUGGGGACAAUAAUUUUGAUUUAGUUCAGACAGACAUG
This is a non-coding RNA of Camellia sinensis, 966 nucleotides long. The record is from RefSeq and is a predicted model, not a curated record. Lineage: Eukaryota; Viridiplantae; Streptophyta; Magnoliopsida; Ericales; Theaceae.